This 72-nucleotide transfer RNA is filed under the name Aenasius arizonensis. Its description in RNAcentral is "tRNA-Lys". Lineage: Eukaryota; Metazoa; Arthropoda; Insecta; Hymenoptera; Encyrtidae. The record is from RNAcentral.
UCCAUUUGAUAUCUUAAAAAUAAGAAUUGAUUUUUUAAAUCAAAGAUAGUAGAUUAAUAAAUACUUCAAAUG